ACUUAUCCUUGGUCUGUGUGCCAAGAUAAAAUAUGACUAUCAAAAAUAGAUGAAGGGAGUAUUUAACAUUUUUGUUGUUAUGAGAUGAUAAAACAUGAAUAAUACUUUAUUCGUGACUUACGUUUUAUUUUUUUCAAAAAAUUUUCAAAUAAGACGAAUGGUUAAAGUUGGGCGCGGAAAAUCAUGGCUGCAUUUAUU
Oryza sativa Japonica Group (Japanese rice) is the source of this 198-nucleotide microRNA precursor. It matches the Rfam family "MIR812 microRNA precursor family". The record is from Rfam. NCBI's taxonomy places the organism in Eukaryota, Viridiplantae, Streptophyta, Magnoliopsida, Poales, Poaceae.